RNAcentral lists this long non-coding RNA (779 nucleotides) under Homo sapiens (human). RNAcentral describes it as "non-protein coding lnc-SNRPN-8:151". The stretch from base 456 to 537 matches the Rfam family "Small nucleolar RNA SNORD115". The record is from RNAcentral. Lineage: Eukaryota; Metazoa; Chordata; Mammalia; Primates; Hominidae.
GACCCCAGAGGAAGACGUGCAUUGGGUCCGCUGGCCCCAGGCCAGUGUCUCUCAGCCAUGUGCUCAACACCUGGUGAGCUGAAGCUCAGGCCCUUCCUGGCAUCCUGGUCUCCUGCACUGAGCUGUGCCUUGGUGGGCCGUGAACUGAAUGGUGGCGCUGGCCUGUGCCCAGUAUAUCUGGGUUCGGUGGCUGAGAGAGCUUUUGUUGCCCUGUGUCCGUGACGGGCCAGUGUUCUGCAUGCAUCCCAUCACAUGGAUCCAUGGAGGAUGUUGAGCCCAGAGGAAGACUUGCACUGGGCCCAAUGGCCCCAGGUCAGCGUCCAUCAGCCAGGUGUCCAGCCCCUGGUGCACUGAAGAUCGGGCCCUUCCUGGUGCCCUGGUCUCCUGCAUUGAGCUGUGGUGAGCACAUCCGGAUCCUGCUGGAUGCGUGUGCGGGGAAGGGGGUGCCCUGGGUUGGGUCAAUGAGAACCUUAUAUUGUCCUGAAGAGAGGUGAUAACUUAAAAAUCAUGCUCAAUAAUAGGAUUACGCUGAGGCCCAGUCUAGGUGAGAGGUUUGGAAGAGGAUGCUGGGAUUCCGAGGUCCCCAGGAGGGCCCCUGUAUUUUUGGCUGGAGACCUGGAGGCCCUGAAGGGCAUCUUGUGGGUGCCCAACCCUGUCUCUGCGCUCCUCCUUGAGGCAGCCCAGGCUCCCUGUGCAGGCUUGGUGUCAGCCCUCCAGUUCCCUGGGUUUGAGGCACAUGGGAAGCUCCUUUCUGAGCCCCGUUCUCCUCUUGUGUCUUU